GGGGUUGUGGCUCAGUGGUAGAGUGCUCACUUAGCACGUAUGAGGCACUGGGUUCAAUCUUCAGCACCACA
Molecule: transfer RNA, 71 nt
Filed under: Marmota monax (woodchuck)
Lineage: Eukaryota; Metazoa; Chordata; Mammalia; Rodentia; Sciuridae
Description: tRNA.Ala
Source: RNAcentral